UAGGGAAUCUUCCACAAUGGACGAAAGUCUGAUGGAGCAACGCCGCGUGAGUGAAGAAGGAUUUCGGUUCGUAAAACUCUGUUGCAAGGGAAGAACAAGUAGCGUAGUAACUGGCGCUACCUUGACGGUACCUUGUUAGAAAGCCACGGCUAACUACGUGCCAGCAGCCGCGGUAAUACGUAGGUGGCAAGCGUUGUCCGGAAUUAUUGGGCGUAAAGCGCGCGCAGGUGGUUCCUUAAGUCUGAUGUGAAAGCCCCCGGCUCAACCGGGGAGGGUCAUUGGAAACUGGGGAACUUGAGUGCAGAAGAGGAUAGUGGAAUUCCAAGUGUAGCGGUGAAAUGCGUAGAGAUUUGGAGGAACACCAGUGGCGAAGGCGACUGUCUGGUCUGUAACUGACACU
RNAcentral lists this ribosomal RNA (400 nucleotides) under uncultured bacterium. RNAcentral's name for it is "bacterial SSU rRNA". It matches the Rfam family "Bacterial small subunit ribosomal RNA", at positions 355 to 747 of the family's 1533-position model. The record is from RNAcentral.